RNAcentral lists this ribosomal RNA (253 nucleotides) under uncultured bacterium. RNAcentral's name for it is "partial 16S ribosomal RNA". It matches the Rfam family "Bacterial small subunit ribosomal RNA", at positions 524 to 776 of the family's 1533-position model. The record is from RNAcentral.
UACGGGGGGGGUAAGCGUUGUUCGGAAUUACUGGGCGUAAAGGGCUCGUAGGCGGCCAACUAAGUCAGACGUGAAAUCCCUCAGCUUAACUGGGGAACUGCGUCUGAUACUGGAUGGCUUGGAUCCGGGAGAGGAAUGCGGAAUUCCAGGUGUAGCGGUGAAAUGCGUAGAUAUCUGGAGGAACACCGGUGGCGAAGGCGGCAUCCUGGACCGGUAUUGACGCUGAGGAGCGAAAGCCAGGGGAGCAAACGGG